ACUUAUUAAAGGGUAAUUUAUUCCUUGUAUAAAAAUAUGUACAGCUCAUUUUCAUUAUAGUCACUUUAACUUUUUAAAUAAAACUAUCCAAGUGCUUAAUGUUUUAUUGACGGGAUAAAGUAAUGAUUCAUGUCCUUGGGACAUAAAAAUGUAGAUCUGUACUUUGGUCAAUUAGUGGUGUCCUGGUGCUAAGCUAACAAUAAUCACACUAAAUUACUUGAAACUAGACUACUAAUGGCAUAAAUAAAGAGCAGAUAAAUUGUACUAGGCAGUUUACUAGAGCAUCUCAGAAGUCAGAAUUUUACCUUUUUCCUGAUAAGCAAGUAAUUUUCCGUCAGGCAGUAAAUACACGUCAUAGCCAGAAAAUGAGGAAAUUCUAAUCAAGGUGCCAAUUCUCGCAUUAGCUCUUCCCUGUACCUUGGUGCACACACCAACUUCACAGCAUGCCCUUUCCUUAGUAGGAUGGAAAGGAAACAGGAAUAUGCUGGCCCUGCCAUUUUGCCGAAGAGCAUGGAAAAGCCAUAAGAUUAAGGACUGUCAAAGAAGUCCUAAGUUACAGUGACCGUAUUAAGGUGGUUCAAGAUGCUCAUCUUCCUAGAACGUGCAGUUUGUUUUAUGCUAAACGUUCAUCUCAUAUUGUGACCUUGUUCUUCCUGCUAUGCUACAAAUCAGUGAGAAUGUCUUCAUCUGGCCAUAAUUGGGGACAAGGACAACAACCAGCUACGUGACUGAUACACAUCAACACUGAAUGCAACAGAACCAAAAUAGCAGGAAACUUGCAGGAGAUAUGGUUGUAUACUAGGCAGACACAGUUUCUGCCUUCAGAGGUGACACAUACUCAGUGAGGAGAAGGACAUUCCAGAAAAGGACACCAACAUGUGCAAAGGCAAAAGCUAUGAAGAGCCUGGCAACAUCAUGAGUGACAUCUCAUUCAGCAUAUCGCCACACAAGAAAAAGUUGAUAAAAUUCUGCUGAUAAAUUGCCACUAAUUAGGCAAGCCCUAGAGACUCUUGGAUGUCACCCGCAGCAGCCUGGACUGUGAUUCUCAACCUGGAACCGCAACUCCAGCUUCUGGGAGUCUGGGAACAGUCAUGAUACAGGUGUGGAUGGCACGCUGGCAUUCCUGCUCUUACCCAUCUCCCUCCAUCAGCAUGCUCCCUAGACCUUCAGAGACACAGAGGACCACUGGGUGAGAACAGAACAUAAGUACACAGAAAAGGGUGGCAGAAGCUAUAGGUGUUCUCAAAACCAGAGGAGAAUGAAGGUCUUAUGUACGGAAUUGAGCACAUCAGACUCUGUAGCCACACUUUCUGUUUCAAACACUCUACUUUUGUCUGUAACUAAGGAAAUUAUGAUCGUUUUUUUAGAUUGGUAUGAACCAAUUUUGCUAUUUCAUGAAAAUUCUGUAUUUUCAUAAAAUAUAGUCUCAUAUGAAUGUUGUUUUAAUCCUUAUAUUUACAUGACAAGACUAAAACAUGUUUUGUUACACCUUGGGCUUUUUCGGUUAGUAAAUCUAUGGGAUAUUUCUCCCCUCGGUGCUUCAGUUGAACAAUUUUAUCUUUCUAUCCAAACAUAACCACCAAAUAGAUAAUCAUGUUACAGCGAGCCUUCCAAACACAUUUUUUCCAUUCAUCUGGAUGUCCUGUGAUCAUCCCACUAUGAACAGUAAAAAGACACCAGGAAAAUGGGUGAAAAACAGGAACAUCUGGCAAGAGGACCAGACAUCAAGGAGGAAAAUGGACAACAAGGGAAAGAAAGGCAGCAUGGAGAACUAUCAGGACAAAAGAAAAUUAAAACAAAAAGUCCAAACAUAUAGAAAGUCAAAAAGCAAUUUAAAAAGGAAAUAAGAGAUUAGAAAACAGUAUUCUCAAAAAUGUCUUUUCAUUUCUGGAAUGUGCAGAGUUCCACUUUUGAGAGUCCUUUCCUCACUCAUGAAUGUGUUUGAAUUUAACACAUAAUUUUCUUCUAAGAUAUAAGGCCACAUAGAGAAGAUGAAAGAAAUAACAUUGGCAAGGUUUUUAUUUUUUAUUUUUCCUUUUUAAAUCUCUGUCCACACUCGGGAAGCAAGGUCUUAAUAAUUCUAAAGCUGUAUGGAAGGUGAACACAUAUUUUGAAGAGAGAGCACCAUAUCAAGCGAUGCCCCAAGACUCAGUCUAUGCCUUAUACUCACAGAUGAUGUGGACAAAGAAACAGUAAGCCUGACAACCACACCUGUACAGGAUGCACUACUGAGCAUGAUUACUGACCUGCACAACAGAAGAAGUAGGCUGACAUUUCAAAGUAGGAUGACAUUUUGGGAAAAUCUCACACAGAAAAGCAAACUAGAAAGAAAUCUGGCCAGACAUAAAUAUAAAGGGAGAAAUGACUGAACAUGAUCAGAUUUGUGAAAAAUUAAUGACCUCCUCACCCAACACCAGAGAAAUUGCACGUUAAAAUUUUUUGAAAAAAUUUUAUAAGAUAAAUGUCUCAUGAUUGGGAGAAAUCAUAAUGGAACAUUUCAAGAGACUAGAACCCAUAAAAAUGUAAAACUAUCAUCUAGCAAAAUAAUCAUAAACAGACUCAAACGUAUUAAAGACAAAGAGUUAAUGCUUUUAUUAUCCAAAUACCUCUUACAAAACAAUAUGAGUAACAACCACAAAGAAAAGUAGAAAAGGACAAAUUCAAGGAAAAGAAAUACAAAUGGCUGUUAACAUUCUAUGAAUCAGGACUCCUCCAAAAAACAAGUGCCUUUUGUCACUUCUAAAAGGGAUUCCUAUGUAUCAAAAAGAAUACAGGCUGAAAUUUUUGUUUUAACAUUUUUCAAGUUGCAACAGGAAGUCAUAAGCACCACAUCAUUUUCUAUGAGUGGACAAAUCAACUAUGCUCAAAUCAAAAUGCUUGCCUUAAAAAAAAUACCUCCUCUUAUAGGAGGAAACAACAAAAUUAAUAAUGGUCAGCAUAAAACUAUACAAAUCACCUAUUCUUAGAAUAUUAACUUUAAGAAGAAAUAUUAGAUUAUCACUAACAAAAGUUUAGAGGGAAGCACAGCUCUACAAGUUCUGGUUUACAGGAAGUUACUUAGCACAAAGGCUGAAUACAUUAAAGUAUAAUUCUGUCAGAGGCUGCUGACAAAAAUGAAACCCCUGUGCACAGUAACAAUCUCAAUGUGGAGAUGUCUCAAAGAAAUAUAUUAAGUGGGAAAUCCUGUAACAGAUGCAAGCAGAAAUCCUAGGAAAAAUAACCAAUCAAUUCCUGCAUGUGGUGCAUAUAGGUCUCUAUUACCUAAAAUACCCUGAUAACUGCUGUGCUUUCUCAUGAUUUCUUAUACUGCUGUGCUUUCUCAUUUCUUAUAUUGAUUUCCAAAGAGGAGGAAGAGUGAAAAUUAAUUGUAUGGACCUGUUCAAUUCCAGAUGUGAGCAAGUGUGGUUCAGGUCAUGUAUAGAGUACUAUUUUUAAUGUACUUAGCAUUAAAUGCUAUAUGGAGAAUAAUAUGCACAGAACUCAAAAGCCCAAGUAGUGGUUGAUUCAGAAUGGUUAAAUUAGGUUCCUUUCUUCCAAUGUCAUUAAGACACUUUACACUAACUAGUAAUCUACAUCCAAGGUUAUAAAUUUCCCUACUGAUUAUCAACCAAGAACCUCUUACGGGUUUAACACCAAGAAUAGGAUAAACAGAAGUAUAUGUUAUGGUUCUUCCCUUAAGGACUUCAGGGUGGAGAGGAUAUAAGAAUACGAUCAUUAGAACACUUGUUGCAAUUAGAAAAUGCCACUAAAUAAUGAAGUGUAGAUUAUAAAUAUUUAAGUACCAAAGAAAGUACAGGAAGGAAGUCUGGAAUACUGUGGGGACUUCACGGAAAAGGAGAAAGAAACUGUGCUCAAUAAAAGGUAGAAUUUGACAUUUGAAAGAAUAAGGCUCACAUUCUAAACAGGAAACAGCAUAAGUAAAAGUAAACUUCGUCCUUGAUACUCUCUGUCAUCAGCCACUAAAGGGAUCCAAAUCAGAUACAAUUCAAAGUGGCACAUCAUUUAAUAAAGGUGACUGAGUCCUAAAUCAGCCAAUGAUAAUAAUCAUAAUAAUUUUAAGCAAUGAAGAAGCAUGAUGAAAACAAUACUUACGGAAGAGUACUCUGGCAACAACUUGUAGAGUGGAUCCAAGAGAAGAAAGUGGCAUGGGAGAAACCAAAGAGGUUCUUGAGAAAAUCUAACCUAAAGGUCUUAAACACCCAGACUGAAGUCAUGGCCCUGGUAACAGAGAGAAAGUGGUAGACCUGAAACUGAUUUAUAAGCAUCAGUAGAAUUUGGUGAUAAUUGAUUCCAAAUGAUGCAUGAGAGAAAAUGCCAAAGUUCCUAGCCCAAGGGAAUGACAAAUUCCAUCUCAGUUUUUUUAUUCUAAAAAUGAGAAAACACAGAAGACUAAGUAUACUGUGAACAUGAUUGGAUGCUGCAGUGUCUAUCUUUUGCUCAGGCUAUUGUGUAUUUGAAUUACCUUCCUAUGUUUGGAGAAUCUCUUAGGAGGAAGAGCCUCCCUUCUACACUAAAAAUAAAAAUAUCCAACACUCACAUCUCAGCCUCCACUGCAGCUAUGGUCUGGGCUCAUGAGCUGCUUUCUGCCAAUCAGGUGCACUAGCCCUAGACUUUGAUGUGUAAGUUAGAAAAAUGAAAAGGCAAGGCAAGUAGGGACUCUCAUGACAACUGGUGGCAGUAUCCAGCAGCAGUGGCUGGAGCCCGGGACAACUGUCAAGUGGCAAGAACAGUGCCCCCUGGAAGCCUUCAUCACCAGACAAGUUCAAUGGUAUGAUCUCAGGCACUGAUCCUGGCUGCCUGGUUUUAAGGCCCUCCCAGACAUUGUGUGAGCCACUCAACGUGCUUUAAGUAACUUCCCUUUCUAUUUAUAUCAGAAACUGUUUCUGUGGCAUAUAAUUAAGAAUCCUGAUUGACAAGUGACACUAAUGGAAAGAGCUUGUGAAAUGGUAGUAAUAAAGUACUUUUUUCAAGAAGAUGGGAUAUUUGGAAUGAAAUUCAGGAAUGUCAGUCAUAAGGGUACUAUAUGUUUAAGAUACAGGUUGCAAAGGAGCAAUAUCUCAAAAUUCCUGGUCUCUUCCACAGUUGCACAUACGCACUUAGUCCAUUGUCUAACAGAGAGGCAAUGUGAUGUGUUAACAAAAAUGAAUACGGGCUUUGGACACUGAUGAGCCAGCCUACGCUUGAAUAACAACUCGAGGAUUAGGUGCUUUAGUGACUUUAGGUAUGUAACUUUACCUCUCUGAGCCUGUUUCUAACAUAUAAAGUCGAAAUAAUCCUGUCAAUUCAUCAAAGUGGUUGUUGGAAUUAAGUGAGAUAGUUGAUCCCAAAACCCCCAUCUCUUGCCAAGUAUAUAGGUGUGCUCAAUAACUGCCAAUUUCUUAAUCAAUUUAUACCAGCCACAUGCAGUCUUUCAUAGCAUGAUCCUGUCCUGACUUGGCUAAUACAAUCCCACCUCUGCCCCUGAUUUUGCUAACCUCCUGGCAUCGUAAAAUUAGUCACUUAGUAACUUCACUCCAAUGUCCAAUGGGCCUGCCUGUAGAUGCUCAAUGAUAUUUAGGCUUUAUGGUUUUUCCUUUGACUCAUUUACUUUUGCCUGCUUUGAGUCGUAAGAACUUCAACUUGACAGCUCAAGUUUUUAAAGUAAUACAUUCUCAUUGUCAAGAAUUUGGAAAGUAUAUCAAGUGUACAAAAGAUGAAAUAUCAUGAAACUAUUAGAGCCGGAAGAAAUCUAAAAGAAGGUCUUUUCAAACCCUCUUAUUUUCCAAAUGAACACACUGAAGCACAGAGAGGUUGGAGGAUGGUUCCAAAUUCACACAGGAAUCAUUUCACCUAUCAACAAACCUGUACUGAGCAUCAUGGAACAGGGCCAGGGCCCGGGCUUUAGCUGGGUCUCCUGAUUCUACUGCCAAUACACACUCUACUGCAUGUCCAAAGGCUGAAGUUCUAUACCUCCCACCAAAGCCCCACAGCAACAGACCUUCAAUAACAACUGUUAAAUCUGAAGACCAAGUAGGAUUUCCAUAGACAACAAAGGGCAUUGGUGCAGAGGCAGCAGCACAACUAGAGGCAUGAGGCAUGCCAGUGCAGAGCAGGUCUGGGGAACAGUAAACCAUCAGCCACAGUAGCCCAUGUGGCAGAAAAGAGAAACACGAAACUGGCCAAGCUGGCCAGGGACAGAUUAGAAGACCCUUCAUGCUGUGUCAGCGAGGUGGGCCUUUUCCUCUGCAGAAGGAGCCAUCAAAGGCUCAUGGAGAGCACAGGCGAGUCAGAAAAAGAGCGGAGUUGCAAUUACUCCAGAUUGGAGGGGAAACUAAGGGAAUUAGGGAGGCCAAGCAAGUGACCACUGCAAUGGCCUGGAUAAUAAGAAAGGACACGCUUCCUCAGGCAGAGGAUGAGGAGACCAGAAGAACACUUCUCAAAUGGCUGGCGGAACAUAAGAAGGCACUCACCACAGGACAGGGCAAUCACUCUCAGAGCUACCACAAACCUAUUGCUGGGCCAGGGCCUAAAACUGAAGAAGGGCAAGGGAAAAAAGGAAAAGGCAAAAACCUCACAUAUUGGCAAUGGCUUUCAGAAACAAAACAAAUGCAAUUUAUUGCUCUGCAUUCACUCUCUGGACUCAACUUCACAAUCCCAUCUGACAACUAAAGACUUAGGAGACCAGAUCCCCAAGGGCCACCCCACAACUCUAAACACCAUUCACACAGAGGCAAUUAAUUCAGAAAGGAUAGCAGGGGACACACUGGUCAUUAUAUGGCACAGGGGGAACUCCUGACAAGGCCAACUUCUCUGAUCAGGUUCCCACUGGGCCAAGUUGUAGGGAUGAGGAGAGCCGGGCAGGUUCAUCUGGACCUUGUGGUAGAAGCAACCCUCACUCAGAGCUGAUGUGAAUGCUGUCUUGGUUUAGUAGAUUAUAGACACACCCUAAGGCAAGUCUCCCAGAGGAAACAACAUCCACCUCCCUGUUUAAUCUCAUAGUCUCCACGGGCCCAACACCAAUCAAUCAGGAUCCAUCUGGAACAAAGCUGCAUUCUCUCAAAUGUAUUCUCCUCAAUUAGGUUUAGUGGAAAUGCAUCCAGAGCGUUUUUUUUACCAUAAAAUGCUGACCACGCUUUCAGUAAUAACUACUGAGGAAUCACACAGACAGACACAAGUUUAUUUGCUUCCUUUGAAGGAAGGAAGGAAGGAAGGAAGGAAGGAAGGAAGGAAGGAAGGAAGGAAGGCAGGCCGGCCAGAAAAACAAACUGAUAUAUUCUAUAUUGGUAUUAUCUAGAGCCAUUAAAAUAAUAUAUGAGAACUAUAAAUACCACCAGGACUCAUCUCAAAAACGUUUCUAAAAACAUAGAUUAAACUGUGUCAUUAUGUAAAUAACAUAUGUAUCUAAAACAGGGGGGCCUGGAAGGCUCAGUUGGUCAAGCGUCUGACUUGACCAAGCGGCUCAGGUCAUGAUCUUACCAUCCAUGAGUUUGAGCCUCGCGUCAGGCUCUGUACUGACAGCUUGGAGCCUGGAGCCUGCUUCAGAUUCUGUCUCUGUGUCUCCCUGCCUGUCUCUCUCUCUCAAAAUAUAAACGAAACAUUUUUAAACAUACACAGUAUAACUAACAUUUAUGAAUACAUAAGCAGUUAAAAUACAAAAUAAUACGACACAGGUGAAGGCUGAGCACACUCCCAAGGAGCCAGGUCUCCUGGCAAGCUGUUCUUCAGUCUCCUUUAUGACCCCGCACUCUUGCAAACUUACUCUCAUUAGGGAGAAAAUUAAAAAGGAGUUUACUAUAUAAACCUCCAGUCAAGUGCCUGACUUCCCCAAGAAGUUUGAUUCUUUCAAUCAACAUGUAUAAUGGAGCUAUGUUCAGUUAAAUUUUCUAACACCAGAAUUGUAUAAAAAAAAGAAAAAGAAAGAGAAAAAAUAACUUAUUAUCCUGUAGUUUUUUCUGUUUUUUUUUAACCUUACAUAUUAGUUAUAAUCUGUUUUUAACUCAAGUUUGGGGAACAAAAUAGGCUAUGAACUUUCCUGCGCCUUUGAUACAAGUCUCCAAUGAACUAGUAAAACGUACUUCAAAGAAACUAAAUAUUUUGUGUGUAACAAUUUAACUUUCUAGCUUUCUCCUUUAAAAUGUAUUACUAUCAGAGUGCCUGGGUGGCUCAGUGGGUUGGGCGUCCGGCUUCGGAUCAGGUCAUGAUCUCAUGGUUCCUGGGUUCGAGCCCCUAGUUGGGCUCUAUACUGACAUCUCAGAUCCUGGAGCCUGUCUUCAGAUUCUUUGUCUCCCUCUCUCUGUCCUUCCCCUGCUCAUGCUGUGUCUGUCUGU
This is a long non-coding RNA of Acinonyx jubatus (cheetah), 8306 nucleotides long. RefSeq lists it as uncharacterized. The transcript is spliced from 3 exons. Lineage: Eukaryota; Metazoa; Chordata; Mammalia; Carnivora; Felidae. The record is from RefSeq and is a predicted model, not a curated record.